AACGAACGCUGGCGGCAGGCUUAACACAUGCAAGUCGAACGCCCCGCAAGGGGAGUGGCAGACGGGUGAGUAACGCGUGGGAAUCUACCCAUCUCUGUGGAAUAGCUCCGGGAAACUGGAAUUAAUACCGCAUACGCCCUACGGGGGAAAGAUUUAUCGGGGAUGGAUGAGCCCGCGUUGGAUUAGCUAGUUGGUGGGGUAAAGGCCUACCAAGGCGACGAUCCAUAGCUGGUCUGAGAGGAUGAUCAGCCACAUUGGGACUGAGACACGGCCCAAACUCCUACGGGAGGCAGCAGUGGGGAAUAUUGGACAAUGGGCGCAAGCCUGAUCCAGCCAUGCCGCGUGAGUGAUGAAGGCCUUAGGGUUGUAAAGCUCUUUCACCGGUGAAGAUAAUGACGGUAACCGGAGAAGAAGCCCCGGCUAACUUCGUGCCAGCAGCCGCGGUAA
Molecule: ribosomal RNA, 447 nt
Filed under: uncultured bacterium
Lineage: Bacteria
Description: partial 16S ribosomal RNA
Rfam family: Bacterial small subunit ribosomal RNA
Source: RNAcentral